RNAcentral lists this ribosomal RNA (775 nucleotides) under uncultured Neocallimastigales. RNAcentral's name for it is "partial large subunit ribosomal RNA". It matches the Rfam family "Eukaryotic large subunit ribosomal RNA", at positions 18 to 625 of the family's 3401-position model. The record is from RNAcentral. Lineage: Eukaryota; Fungi; Neocallimastigomycota; Neocallimastigomycetes; Neocallimastigales.
UCAGACGAUGCGUCAUGCAUAUCAAUAAGCGGAGGAAAAGAAACUAACUAGGAUUCCCUUAGUAACGGCGAGUGAAGCGGGAAGAGCUCAAAUUUGAAAUCUUAAAGGGUUUCCCUUUACGAAUUGUAGUUUAAAGAAGUGUUUUCUGUUAGAGUUUCGGUAAAAGUUCUUUGGAAUAGGACAUCAUAGAGGGUGAGAAUCCCGUAUUUGACCAUUAUUUCUAGCUUUGUGAUACACUUUCAAAGAGUCGGAUUGUUUGGGAAUGCAGUCCAAAAUGGGUGGUAAAUUUCAUCUAAAGCUAAAUAUUGGCGAGAGACCGAUAGCGAACAAGUACCGUGAGGGAAAGAUGAAAAGAACUUUGAAAAGAGAGUUAAACAGUACGUGAAAUUGUCAAAAGGGAAGCGUUUGACACCAGUGUUGUUUUCUCGAAAAUCAAUUAAAAAAGGCAGGAUUUUGUGUUGUAUUGACUUUAUCAGCUUUCUGCACUCUUUUCUUGUCUUUUUUUAAUGCACUUUUCGUUUAACAAGUCAACAUCAAUUUCUUUUGUUGUAAAAGGGUCAUUGGAAGGUGGCUUUCUUUUCGGAGAAAGUGUUUAUAGCCUUUGGCCUCUGCAAUCGGAGAGAUUGAGGUCUGCAGCGUAGAUCCUUCGGGGUUAGAUACAUUUGUGCUAAGUUAUAGCCUUUCAUAGACAACUUGUUGACUAUGAUCAGUCAUGUAGCUUACUCGCUUAUGCUAUUUUACCUACGCUUAGGAUGUUGAUCUACAGAGCGAGAGU